AGAAUUCUCAUAAACUACAAUAUCCUAACAUUACUCAAAACAACAAGGUUUAAUGAAUAUUCAUUAUAGUCCAAAAAUAAAAGUUCACAAUUAGACAACUUAAUCAAAAUAAAGUUUCAUUACAAAUCCAUAAUUCAUAAUUACUAAAACAAAUCCAAAAAUCCAAAAAACACAAUAAAAAAAAUGUCACACUCCACUAGGCCACUCCAGGAGCAUUUUGAAGUCCUCCCUGCCCUACCUGUAGAUCCUCAGGAGUGAUAUCUGCAUCUAAAAAGAUGUAAAAAGGAAGGGGUGAGCAUUUCCACAUUGCUCAGUAGGGUGCCUAACACCCAAGGGGUUAAGGGGAUUACUAAGUUCCAAAGAAUACAAAAAGAACAUUUCAACACAACAGAAACAUUUCAACAGUAUCAAUCAAACCACAUAGUUUAAUAUCUAAUAUUAUACACAAUUCCACACAUUCAACAAUUAAAUGAAUGCACAUGAAUGUGUGACACACAAUCAUACAAUGCACUAUUAUUCUCGGGCUUUCACCGAAGGAUACGCGUCCGCACCCAAAUACACUCCCUAUUCGGAGUCUUCCCGGGGUAAACUUUUGGGUCUUUCACCCUAGGGAUCUCUCUCCCUUCUUAAUUUGCCUCACACGGACUUUCACUUUUCAUCACUAUUUCAUUUUUUUCCAUUUCAUACACUUUUCACAAUUUUCAUAAUUUCUUCACACAACCAUGAUGCAAAUAAAUGCCACAAUUCCAAAGUUCCUCAAUAAUUUCAACAAUUUCAACAUUCCCCAAUAAUCCAAUAAAAUAAAUUUUCCACAUUAAAAUUUCCGAAAAUAUCCCAAAUAAAUAUUCAAAAAUUUGCAUAUCAAUAAACUUGAAAAUAUACCACACUUACGGACAUUUUCAACCAUUCUAAUAAUUUCUAAUAUUCGAAAUUAACUAAUUUUCCACCAUAAAAAUUCCGAAAAUAUUCCAACCAAUGCCCAAAAAUUCACAUAUCACUAGAUUUGAAAUUAAACCCUAAUUUCAUAAUUUUCCAACACUUCUAAUAAUUUUUAACAAUUCAAAACAAUUAAUUAUCAACCAAAAACAAAUUCCCGAAAUUACAAAAAUUCCAAACAAAUUCCAAAUAAUACAGGAAAAUUUCAUACAACACCCAUAUUACCUAUUUAACUCAUAAUGAUAAGAUUUACAAAUUUUUUUUAAAGGAAGACGCAUUAAAUUUAAGUUUUAGGGUUAGGUUCCCCUACCACAGAUCUAAUAAUUCAAUCGUUAAAAACACGAUCGGCCACCGUAGGAUUGUUCCUCUCGUCGAGUAGAGCACCUCCUUAAAAUUUGAGCCGAAAUGGAGGUCGUUUGGCCACCCAAAUGGUCAGUCAAAGUUCUGGCGAGAUGCAACUUCUCCACAGUGCCGUCGCUGCUCCUUUUCUCACCCAUUCUGCCACUGUUUAAUUGAUUUUCCUUUCUUUUUACAAAGCCCAUUUCAUUUUGUUAUUUUAAUCCACCAGCCACCACGAAGUCCACGGCCCAAGAGCCCAAAAGCCCAACUACCCUUUUAUUUCUUUCUUUUGAAACCCAAUUCAUCCAAGCCCAAAUCGAUUCCCUUUUUAUUUUUGUUUUCAAAAGCCUACUUUCAUCCACUCACAACCACUGCCCACGGCCCAAAUCCAGAGGCUCUAAUUAAUCUUUUUGUUUAUUUAUUUUCUUUUCUUUGUUUUCAUUUGGUUAUUUUCCAUUUCCAAUUUCAUUUCAUUUUUUUUUUAACAACACAAAUUAAUUUAUUAAACACCAACAAAAAAAAUAAUUUAAUUAAUUUUUUUUACUUAAUUAAUUUUAAUCAAUUUACUUUUCAUUUUCAUUUUCAUUUUUCUUUUCCGAAAUUUCUCAAUUUCUAAAAUCGUAAGAACUUUUCUAUUCUAAGGCUGGCAUGGCACAAAAAUUUCAACUCGCCUAAUUGACCAACACAAUAAACCGAAUUUCACCAAUCCAAAAUUAACAUGUGUUCUCCAAACACUUUUCUUUUUGACUUUUCAACCAUCACUCAAAAUAAGACUUUUCAAAAUAAAAAAGCUAACGUGGCAUAAAAUACCCGGUCAUUACAUGCAUGCACAGAUUUCCAAUGUAUUCUUCCUUCAUUUUCAGGAGAAUUCCCUAGUCUUCUUCUCUAACCAACUCUGCAUUUAUUUGGGUCCUCCCAUUGUUUAUAUUCAAGGGGGCAAUCAAGAAGAAUAAUACGAGGGUUGGCAAUCUUUCUUUUCAUUUUUCUAAGGGCCACAACAUCUUUGUUAAUCAUAACUCCUUUAAGAACCUUGGAAUCUUCCAACUAGCCACCAAGGACUUUCUCAACCUUUAUGUUCUUCUUAAUGUCCACUUCUCUCUAGGACAACAUGCACAGCAAUCACUUUACAAUAUUGUAUUCCUUCUUUCGGUCUGUAUACACACGUCAUCCUCUUCAUGGACCUAUUCAACCUAGAGAGAGGAUUUUGGCCAGGUAGACCUUUGAACCCAUUCCGAAAUAACCCUUUUUUUAGGUAAUCUCUUGAUAGCGCUGGAAGCAUAUCAAUUCUUGUAUCGGCACAAUGCGAAUCAAAUUGAAACUCUUGUUCUCCCCAUUAUGCACCCAAAACUAUCACCUUUCUAUCAGCUAUGAGCUUCCUCGCCUCAAAGCAUGCAACCUCAAGCUCACUUGGCUUCUCAUAAUGGUACCGAAAGUCCCUACCCAUCAUAUCACCAAUCUCAACAAGACAAAAACUUGAGAAAUAAGGGCCUUGACAAAUGUGCAUCUUCCCUGAAGAUGUUCUCAAGAAAGCAGAUGCUUGAUCCAGUCGCAAUAACAGAGAAUGGAGGAUAAAGUAGCAGCACAACAAACCUUGUAUUCUAAUCUUUCUUAAUUUGCUUGUUUGCUUCCUUAAUGAAUAGAUACCAAGUAACGCAUGCCAACAUAGACAUUUACAUGCGUGUUCUUUGCUUCCAAAGCUGCUUUAAUUACAUAUACUUGCUCAUCGGUGAUUUUUCAUAAAGGUGAACCACUUCCUAUUGCAACAUACCAUUCUUUACCAUUGGAAGCACGGAUCACAUAAAUUAAUUGAGCCAAUGGUCGUUGAAGAAACUGAAACAGCCUUAAAAUGGACAAAAGGCUUUUUUGAAAGCCCGAACACAGUCUUUGGCACCAUAGUGUGGUCCAAAACUCACUGAUCACAGAGACUUUAAUGUGCAGAGCAUGGUGUUAGGACUGAAAAGAAAGCGACUUGUAUAAAGGUAGCUUCAAUGGGUAUGAAUGUUUGGGGAUGGUGAACUUGGCAUGGAGCGAUGCUACUCAAGGCUUAGAUAUGACAGAAGAGGGACUUAAAUGGAGGGCUUGGAGAAGGGUUUAGGGUGACCCUUGCAUGGUGAUCACGUACGCAUGGGAAACGAGUAGUGGUCUGGCUGGGUAGGCAUGAGCAAGGUUGAAGGUAGAGAGAUGAAUGAGUGUGGUAGGUGUAGGGAAUGAAUGAUGGAUGGUAGGUAUGGUGACUGCGAAACCAAGGUUUGGUUAAUCUUGAUUUUGAUGAUAACAAAACAAGGUUUAGAACUAAUGAUUAUAUUUCAAGUGUGAUUAGGCAAGACGAUUUCCAAAGUGGCAAUCACAAAGACAAAUCAAGCCAAGAAGAAAUCAUGAAGAAAAAGACCACCUCAAAGAGAAGUGUUUUUCAAGACCUAAGCUUCAUAAGAUCUCUUUGUAAGGUUGUUGGUGCACUAGGAUUUUCAUGCACUACAUUCUUCACUUAUGCACCAAAAUCGUCCAAUAGUUAUUUUGUUUUAAAUAUCUUAAGAAUUGGAUGAUUUCUUGUUUUCAACUAAAACCUUAUAUUAAAUAUUUUUCAAACUUGUUUUAAAGGGUUUUAAGUUGAAAAAGUUGGGUGUUGAGCCAAAAAAUGGCUCAAUCGGUUGAACCGAGUGAGGAACCGGUCGACCGCAAGCUCAACCGGUCGAGGUCUGGGUCGACCCCCAACUCAACCGGUCAAGGUCCGGGUUGACCCACAGCUCAAUCGGUCGAGGCCCGAGUAGACCCCCAGCUCAACCGGUCGAGGGUGCAAAAAACUCUCUUUCUUCCAGAACGGUUGUUCAACCGGUCAAGGAUGAACCUCAAUCGGUUGAGGUCCGGUUGAGGUCCGAUCGAGGUCCAACGGUCACCUGCCAAGCAUUAAAUGCUAACGGCUAGUCAACCGGUCGACCCCUAGCUCGAUCGGACGAACCCCAAAACGGCUAGUUUGGCUUUUCUCUUCUAUAAAAAGGCUCUAAUCUUCAUUGUUUCAAAAGCUUAACCUUCCCAAACAUUUCUUGAUCAUAUUUGAGCCUUGGAAGAGUGUUUUUGAGUGCACCAUUGUUCUAAAACUUGCAAAUCUUUAGUGCACCCUUCAAUCCUAGUUUUCUUGUAUCAUUUGAGCUUAAAGUUCUUGUGCUAGGAUUUUGUGAGAUCUUUUAUUUGUAAAUCUUUGAGAGGAAGUCUCAAGUGUGGGGUAUCACUUAAGGGGUUGUUCAAGAGCGGGAUAUCUCUUGAGAAUUGUAAAGGGUGCUUGGAGCCAAAAGUCCAAGAGGGUGAAUUGAAACCAUAAUCCAAUUGUAUUACUUGAAGGCUUGGUUUGGAAGCCUUGAAUUAGUGGAACCUCAAGCUUGGGAUUGAAGUUAGAGGAGAGUGGAUGUAGGCCGGGUUGUGUCGAACCACUAUAAACUCUUGUGUUUGCAUUAUCUCUUCCCUACUCUUUUAAUUUAUAUGCAAUUGUAUUUAUAUUGCCUACCAUAGGUUGAAUUAGCCUAAUAUUCCUAACAGUGACGUAUAUGAGAGAUAUGAAGGGUGAUGAGAAGUGGAUUAGUGGUGACGUGAUAGAUAUGUAAAUUUGGAAAAUGAGAAGGGUGAUAGGUAAAAGAAAUGGGUAUAGAUGAUGGUCGGGUUUGCAUGGCUCCCAUGCAUGUGGGUGGAUGAAUCUGGGAUGUCAACAAGGGCUUUAGAAGGAGCUUUGGACAACCAUGCAUGUCAAGAGGAAUUCAACCUCACUCUGAUCAUUUAAAACGGGCAAGCACCGUAACAGUAGCAUCCUUCAUAGUGGAUUUCCACCCAUACCCAAUCCACGAGUCAAAAGUGCUCUAAGUUGGGCAAAAUCCAUCAGCAAUAGCAAAAGAAAGAGUUCUUAAGUGAUCAGCAAUAACCACGUAUGCCAUGUCAACUUUGUCUGUAUCAUUUAAUCCAACUUUCCCUGAAUAUGGUUAAGCAUCAGCCGCCAAAAUGUAUCUCGGUGCAAGACCCUCAAGGACCAGUAUCACUCAUCUCCUAGAAAUUGUUGUUACAACCAGAGGGCAAUACACGUCCAGGUGGCAAAGCUUGAGCAAAAAAAAAAAAAAAAUCCCUGGCUUAGAGAGCUCAGCAGGUGGGUGGUAGUGGAGAAGGAAAUUAUGGCACCUUAAUAAAUGCAAAUGUAGUCCCAGGGAAUGAGCCAAAAUUUUUCUCUAAAAGUUUUCUGUACAUAAUUUAGAGCCAAAAGCUAGCGCUCUGCUCCGACCCAAAAAAGGGUCGAUUCGGUAAUAGGAAAAGCAAAGACGAUAGCAAGUGACCCACAACAUUCGUGGAUAGGACUUCGCCAAAAUUUUCCUCUAAAAGUUUUCUGAUCAUAAUUUACUUCUCAGUGCCCGAACCCUUCUGCAAUAUCUUUUCUAAUUAAUGAAUUUCUUGAAAUGGGGCAGUUUCAUCGAAUGUCAUCAAUUUCUAUAUCCAUGUAAAUGUAGCAUCUAAGUAGCAAACUGAACUUAAGAAAAAGCAGAGGAAGUGAAAGUCCAGAAAUGAAUCUCAACCUAAACCCCCUUACCUUUCAACCUGGGAAGUUUCCUACUCUUUCUCUCCGUCCCAGAUCUUCCAACGUCUCUAUUGCUUCCACCAUCACCUCUGGCUCCGAGUGAGUGUCUUUCGUCGAAAAUGUUCCUUGGAAAAUUCAUUUAAUUCUCAAAAUAUUCUAUGAAUGGAUAGAUCUUGCCGAUGUUCAUUGAAAACAGGAGGAAGCAAAGGCCCAAAGUAUGCAUCAUUUUUAAGGCACAACCAACAUGAAUAGCAGCCAAACAGCCAAAUUGACCGCAUGAAUCUUUUUUUUUUUUUUCUGUUUCCUAUACUUUCUCGGCAACCAAACGGGUUGGGAGAAUACGGUAAAGUGAAGGCAGCAACUUGUUCGCUGAUUUGUACAAGGUUAACCUUCAAUGCAAGUAAUUGCGUCAUUCGAUGAUAAACAACGCUCUCGCUCUGAUAAUUGGCUACGACAACCUUAUGAUUGGUUUCCAAGAAAAUGAUAGAAAAACAAACACAGAAUCUGAGACUAAUGCUUGGGAGAUGAUCCAAAAAAGUCAAAACAACUAUACUGCACUUUAGAUGGUGGCCUGUGAAUUGGGCCGUAGGUAUGAAAGUGGGCUAGGCCCAACUAUAACGGAAAACUUUUUUUUUUUUUUGAAAAUUCAAAUAUAAAAAAUGAUUUUCUUUGCUUAUUCUACGGGAAGGCAUUAAACAAAAAUUCCCAACCUAGUAUCCAUAAAUAUAUAUUACAAGCAUAUUUUAAAAAUCAUUUCUUAGAAAAAUAAACUGUGGUUUCCAAAAACAUCCUUCAACAAUGGUUUUGAAAACAUAAUUUUUGAGAAUAAUUUUUUAAAAUUGUUUUAUGAUGAUUUGUAAAACAAAAGUUUGGGAGUUUGAAAUGUUUUUAACAUAUUUUUAAUUUUUUUAAAUAUGUUUUAAAAGUAAUUUUAAUAUUUAGUGCUUUAUUUAAAAAAGACUGAAAUAAGAAUUAAAAGAUGUUAUUUAAAAACAUUAUAUUUUUUAUUUUUAAAAAUAUAAAAUAGAAAAUAAUUUUUUAAUUCUCAAAGGUUUUUUUUUUAAGAACAUAAAACUAUUAUAAAAAAAUAAUUAUCAAAUAAUGUCUUAUUUUUUUACACUCAAGCCUCCCUCCCACCUAUAAUUCCAAAAAAAAUCAUUUUUUUUGUUUUAUUUUGACAAAAAUGUCCUCCCUAUUUUCUGGUAAAAAUAAUUAUUUCUUUUAAAACCUACAUGAAAUAUUUAAAAUAAUAAAAUACAUUUAUGUCAAUAAUGAGUUAUUUUUCAAAUAAAAAUAUAAGAAUAAUUAGAUUCAUAAAUUUGGGGAUUAUUUCAUCUUUUUUAACUAAUUAAUUCUUAAAAAUAAAAAAAUCACUUGGACUUUUGAAAAGCCAAUUAUAUUUCAAUUCAAUAAAAGCUUCUUUUUAUUUUUUUUUCAAAAAAGCUUGAUAUAAAAGGUAGAAAAAUAUUGCUUUUUAUAGAAGCUAUGUUUUAACUUUUAUUUUAUCUAAUACAAAAAAAUUAUUUAUAUUUAAUAAUUCUUUUACAAUAUCAAUAUUGUCAUUUAAAAAUGAUUGCAUAAAAAAAAAUUUGAAAUAAUAUUUUGAGUGAUUUUUUUAUAUUUUUAAAAGUUUUUCAAACAUCUAAUUUGUAAAGACGUGUUUUCAAAUAUCCAAAAACACUUUUAACUUUAUUAAAAUGACUCUAAAAUGAACUAUUAGAAUUAAAAUUGAUUUUGAGAGAAUUCAAAAUGUUUUGAUGAUGGUGAUAGUGAUGUUGUAAGUUAUAUUGGGUUUGUUUGAUAAUGCUUUUAGAGUUUUAGAAGCGUUUUUUAAUAUUUGAAAAUACUUUCUGUUAGGAAUAUUAGGCUAAUUCAACCUAUGGUAAUCACCCUAAAGGGGGGGGUGAAUAAGGUGAUGAUCUCUUUUUGCAAAUUUAAACUAUGUGAAUGUAAGAGACAAUUAUUUGCAAGUAUAUAAUAAGCAAUAUAAAGACAAUUGCAUAAAAAUUAAAAAGUAGGGAAGAGAGAAUGCAAACACAAGAGUUUAUAAUGGUUCGACGCAACCCAACCUACAUCCACUCUCCUCUAGCUUCAAUCCCAAGCUUGAGGUUCCACUAAUUCAAGGAUUCCAAACCAAACCUUCAAGCAAUACAAUUAGAUCAUAGUUCUAAUUCACCCUCUUGGACUUUUAGCUCCAAGCACCCUUUACACUUCUCAAGAGAUACCACACUCUUGAGAAACUUCCUCUAAAAGGUUUACAAAUAAAUGAUCUCACAAAAAUCCUAGUACAAGAACUUUAAACUCAAAUGAUACAAGAAAACUAGGAUUGAAAGGUGCACUAAAGAUAUGCAAGUUUUAGAACAAUGGUGCACUCAAAAACACUUUUCCAAGGCUCAAAUAUAAUCAAGAAGGUUUGGGAAGGUUAAACUCUUUAAACAAUGAAGAUUAGAGCCUUUUUAUAGAAGAGAAAAACCAAACUAGCCGUUUGGGGGUUCAAUUGGUCGAGUUAGGAGUCGAUCGAUUGACUAGCCGUUAACAUUAAAUAUUUGACAAGUGACCGUUGGGCCUCAACCGGACCUCAACCAGGAAGAGAAUUACCUCGAUCGGGAAGAGAAGGCUACUGAGAGAGAGAGAAACUUUUUAGCCUCCCUCGACCGGUACUCGACCGGACAAGUACAAUCGGUCGACCAGUUCCUCAACCGGUUGAACCGGUUGAGGCAUUUUUUGGCUCAACACCCAACUUUUUCAACUUAAAACCUUUUAAAAUAAGUUUGAAUAACAUUUAACACAAGGUUUUAGUUGAAAACAUGAAAUCAUCCAAUUCUUAAGAUAUUUAAAACAAAAUAACUAUUGGAUGAUUUUGGUACAUAAAUAAAGAAUGUAAUGCAUGAAAAUCCUAGUGCACCAAUAACCUUACAAAGAGAUCUUAUGAAGCUUGAAUCUUGAAAAACAUUUUUUCUUUGAGGUGGUUUUCUUCUUCAUGAUUUCUCCUUGGCUUGAUUUGUCUUUGUGAUUGUCACUUUGGAAAUCAUUUUGCCUAAUCACACUUGAAAUAUAAUCAUUAGUUCUAAACCUUAUUUUGUUAUCAUCAAAAUCAAGAUUGACCAAACCUUAGUUUCACACUUUCUUAUAGAAAUUAGAUGUUUGACAAACUCAAAAAAUGUUUUUAAAAAAAUUAUUUUUUUAUGUUUGAUUUAUUAUGAAAAAUAUGAAAAAAAAAAUCAAUUAAAAACCUAUGUCUUCUCAAAUUAUUUAAUUAUUCUAAAAAAAAAAAGUAAAUUAUUUUGAUUUUUUUUUUUUUAAAUCAAUAACAAUUUUUCUUACUCUUUGAUCCUUCUUCCUUUUUAGCUAAUUAUCAUGUCAUUUAAGCUUGAAAAUAUGUGUUCAAUUUAAACUUAAUAAUAAUUUUAAAUGGGUUUAAGUGAGUCAGAAAAAAAAAACCAAUAAAUAAAGUCAAUAAGUUUAAUCUCUAAUUAAAUUUUAAUUAAUGUAUUAAUUAAAAAACUAAUUUAUGAGAUUAUGAGAAAUAAAUGUGGGGGAAGAUACAAGAACAAACUCGGUGAAAAAUAGUUAGGAUUUAGAAAAAAUGAUUUAUUUUAACUUAUUAUUUAAAGUUAUAUUUAGCAAUAUUAUGCAUUUUAUCAAAUAUUUUUAAUGAUUGAAAUUAACUUAUUAAUUGUUUUUGAACACAUUUUCAAUUUUUAUUUUUAAAAUAAGAGCUCUUACAUGAAAAGUAAAAUCUUAUGUCAACAAAUCUUAUUUAUACAAGCUUCAACUACUUCAAUAAUUACUCUCAUAAAUUAUAAAAAUUACCCUUAUACUUUCAUUUCUACCUUAAUUCAUCUCUAAGGGUUUUUUUUUUAAAUAAAAAUAAAAAGCAACAUCAACCCUACAGUAGUUUCAAAGAUGAAUAAGUUCUUAUGAUUGGAACAUAGACAAAUUAAAAUAGACAAACAUAUCAUAUAAUGAUUGAAAAAAUAAAUAGACAACUACGAUAGAAACAUAGACACGAGAUCUAUCUUUAGUGUUGAGCAUGGUGAUGGUGGUAAAGUUGCAAAGCCUUUUUACUCUAGAGGAGUAAAAAAGGGCCUUGAUGGAGACGAAGACAAAAUGUGGGGUGGAUGGUAGUUGAAUAUUGGUGAUGGUGGAAUUUAUUAGAGUACUAUUAAAAGUGUUUGCAGUGUUUGGUAGUAAUUUUAAAAGGAAUUAAAAACAUAGUGAAUUGUUUUGUAGCAGUAUAAUUUUAAUGUUUGAAAAUAAUCUUUUUUUUUCUUCUUGAAUUCAGGAACAUAUUUAGCAAUGACUCUUGAAAACGAUUUUUGAUUCUUUAGAAUAGAACAAUGUUUUCUAACUAUACGUUUCAGAGAAAUAAUUUUUUUAAAAUAUGCAUAGCAUUAGUAGAUUAGCAAUUAAAAAUAAGGAUUUUCUAGGAUUGGGCUGAAUUAAGAGAAAGAAAAUAUGCAUAGAAUUUGAUUAAAACGUCGAUUAACAAGCAAGUUGAGUUUUUGGGGCAAAAUAGUCCUUUUAUAAAAUAAAAAUGUAAGGUAUAACCCCUCCAUAAAACUUAUGUUCAACUGUCUCCUUCAUUGUCAUAUAAGAGUCAUAUCAUAAAAGAUAUUUUUCUUUUCAAAAUUUAAGUUGAAACCUCAAUUAUCAAUCGGGACUUCAUUUUUUUUAACUAAAACCGUAAUUUGUAAGUGAGACUAUUGAGGCUUCUGUUGAAUUUUUUUUUUUAAAGUUUAAAAUUUAAUUAAAAAUAUUAAACUACAAAUUAUUACUGAAAUUUAAAAUAUAUACUUGAAUAAUAAUAAAUUAUAUAUUUAAACUUAAAGAUUUAAUAUAACUUCAAUAAAGAUAAAUUGAUAAAUAUAAUAAUAAUAAAUAUUUUAUUUAUCAAUAAAUUAAUAAUCUUAAAAUAAUAAAGUUAUAUGAUAUAUAAAUAAGAUACAAAAUUAUAUAAUUUAUUAAUUUAUGAUAUUUAUUUUUUUUGUAUUUUUAAGAUAUUAAUUUAUUUGCAUUUUGACAAAUUUAUCUUUAUUGAAAUAAUAGUAUACUAAGUUUCUAUAUAUAGAUUUUGUAUUAUUUUAAAACAUAUGUUUAUAAUUUUAUGUAAAAAAAAGACUAUUAUUUGUGCACACACAACAUAUAUGCCUUGAAGAUACAUUUCAAAAUUAGUUAAUGAAAGUAAUUAAAAAAAUAUACUACAAAAUAUAAUUUUUAGUACUUUCAUCAAAGUCACAAAAAAUACCUAGUAAAUAUUUAUAUAGUGAGAAAAAAGAACGUCAGUCCCUGAUUGUAGCAGGUACUACAUGUGAUAUAACUUAAAUUAAUAAAUUUUAUAAUUUUAUAUCUUAUUUAUAUGUCGUGUAACUUUAUGAUUUUAAGUUUAUUAAUUUAUUGAAAAAUAAAGUAUUUAUUUAUUAUUAUAUUUACCAAUUUAUUUUUAUUGAAGUAAUACUAGAUCUUUAAGUUUAAAUAUAUAAUUUUUUUUAUUAUUUAAGUAUAUAUUUUUAAUUUUAACAAUAGUUUAAUAUUUUUUAAUUAAAUUUUAAAGUAAGAAAAAAACAAUUAAAGCCUCAAUUGCUAAUUAUGACUUCAGUUAAAAAAAUGAAGCAUUAGUUGACAAUUGAGGUUUUAAUUAAAAUUUUGAAAAAAAAAAAAUUUAUAACAUGGCUCCUAUGUGGCAAUAUAGAGGCUAAUUUGAACAUAAGUUUUGCAAAAAGGUUAAACCUUAGGGUUAGAUUUCCAGAAAAAAUAUGGGAAGAGUUAGAUUUCCGAUUUGUGGAUUAUUUUAUCCCUUUUAACCAAAUAUUUCUAAACCGGGUUAUUUGAUUAAAAAGGUCUCUCCAAACCCAAAUUUUAAAAUUUAACCUCCCACUAUUUUUUGGCAUCAUUUGGAUAAAAAUGCCCUCAUUAUUUUCUAGUAAAAAUAAUAAUUUCUUUUAAAACCUAUAUGUAAAUACUUAAAAUAGAAACGAACAUUUAUGUCGAAAAUGGGUUACUUUUUCAAUAAAAACAUGAGAAAUGUUAGAUUUCUGAUUUAGGGAUUAUUUCAUCCCUUUUAACAAAAUAUUUCUAAACCUUAUAUAUUUUCUAUAAAAUGGCUAUAUUCCCCUAAAACUCCAACAAGGAAGCAUAAUAGGUUUUCAAGGGUUUUUAUCUAAACAACCUGCUCUUAUGAGGGUUUUCUCCUCCAAGUUGCCUUUCCAUAUGUCUAAAUCCACCCAAGAACAUCCAUUUCUAUAUAUAUAUAUAUUUAGCAUCCAAGUCUGACGUCCAGAUUACACGGAAGUGAAGUCAGAAAAUGGCACUCAAUUUCACUCCCUUGCUUUCUUUUACUUUCCUGCAAAUGGGUUAUCAUACAUCUCCCAAAUUCUCCAUGGCCUCCAUGCACCGCUCUGUGUCCAGGUGAGUGUGUUCUUCACUCACAAAAGUUUACGGAAUCUGCAUACCAUCUAGUAGAAAAUGGCUAGUGCCUAUGUUCAUUGUUUCAUCCUAACCAGUAGUGUCUAACCGUUGUGAAAAGACGGAUCCGAAUUGUAAGUACCUAAUCCAAAUUUCUUCUGUUUAAUGUAGGGAGAUUAAGAAUACAAAGAAGACUUCUAGCUCUCCUCGCAAGGUGCAAGUAACCCACUCAAUGCCACCACACAAGAUUGAGAUUUUCAAAUCCAUGGAGAAUUGGGUUGAGGAGAAGUUUUAAUUCACCUGAAGCCAGUUGAGAAAUGUUGGCAACCUCAGGAUUUUCUGCCUGAUCCUGCAUCUGAUGGAUUUCAUGAGCAAGUCAAGGAGCUGCAGGAGAGAGCUAAGGGGAACCCAGAUGACUACUUUGUGGUUUUGGUUGGACAUAUGAUCACUGAAGAAGCCCUUCCAACUUACCAAACACAGAUCAAUAUCACUGAUGGAAUUCGUGAUGAAACAGGGGCAAGCCCCAGCUCAUGGGCAACUUGGACAAGGGCAUGGACCGCUGAAGAGAACAGGCACGGUGACCUUCUUAAUAAGUAUCUCUAUCUGUCUGGAAGAGUAGACAUGAAACAAAUCGCGAAGACGAUUCAGUAUUUGAUUGGGGCUGGAAUGGUGAGAUUCUUGCUACAUCCCCUUUUUUUUUUUUUUUUUCUGUAGUCAGUCACAAUCUUCACUAGUUCUUGAACUCAAGUUCUUCUUCUCCAUCUUUUCAUAGGAUGCUCAGAAUGAUAACAGUCCCUACCUUGGCAGCAUCUAUACUUCAUUUCAAGAAAGGGCAACCUUCAUAUCCCAUGGCAGUACUGCCAGGCUCGCCAAUCAACAUGGGGACAAGAGCUUGGCUCAAAUAUGUGGCAUAAUAGCCUCAGAUGAGAAGCGCCAUGAAACUGCCUACACCAAGAUAGUGGAAAAGCUCUUUGAGAUUGAUCCCAAUGGAACUGUUUUGGCUUUUGCAGACAGGAUGAGGAAGAAAAUCACCAUGCCGGGCCUCUUGAUGUAUGAUGGAUGUGAUGAAAACCUUUUUAAGCACUUCUCAGCAGUUGCUCAGAGGCUUGGUGUGUAUACUGCCAAGGACUAUGUUGAUGUCUUAGAAUUCUCUGUGGAGAGAUGGAACGUGGAAAAGCUAACUGGGCUUUCUAGUGAGGGGCGAAAAGCUCAGGAUUACGUUUGUGGGUUAGCUCAAAGAUUGAGAAAGCUGGAGGAGAGAGCUCAAGAAAAAGCUAAGCAAGCACCCACCAUUCCUUUCAGUUGGAUUUUGGAUAGAGAAGUGAGGCUCUGAGUGCAAAAUGGAAGACAAAGAUUGGUCGUGUCCUCAAAGAUCUAUCCUGUAAUAUACAAGUUUAAGCCAUCUAUGUUUCUCUAUCUCAAUUUUAAUAAUCACGAUCUCAUCUCAUAUCACUUCUUAGAAUCCUACAAACCAGGGUUUUGGUUCAUAUCUCAUCAUUUGGACUGGAGCAGUGCUUUUUUUUUUUUUUUAAAUUCCUAUAAGAUAUUGGUAAAAACAUCCUUAGCAAAAAGGAAAUGAUAGGACACUGUACAUGUUCCAAUCAAGGAGAGCUCAGCACCGGUGGUGGUGAGAGGUAGUGGAGAAGGAAAUUAUGGCUCCUUGAUAACUGCAAAUGCAGCCCCAGUGAGAGAGCCAAAAUUUUCCUUUGAAAGUUUUGUGUUCAUAAUAUACAUCUCAGUGCCUGAACCUUCCUGCAAUAUCUUUUCUAAUUAAUGAAUUUCUUGAAAUGGGGCAGUUUCAUCGAAUGUCGUCAAUUUCUAUAGCCAUGUAUGUGUAGCAUCUAAGUAGCAAACUGAACCUAAGAAAAGCAGAGGAAGUGAAAGUCCAGAAAUGAAUCUCAACCUAAACCCCCUUACCUUUCAACCCGGGAAGUUUCCUUCUCUUUCUCUCCGUCCCAGAUCUUCCAACGUCUCCAUCGCUUCCACCAUCACCUCUGCCUCCAAUUGAGUGUCUUUAGUCGAAAAUGUUCCUCGGAAAAUUCAUUUGAUUCCCAAAAUAUUCUAUGAAUGGAUAGAUCUUGCCGAUGUUCAUUGAAAAGAGGCGGAAGCAAAGCUCAAAUGUAUGCAUCAUUUUUAAGGCACAACCAACAUGAAUAGAAGCUUAACAGCCAAAUUGACUAGAUGGAUCUCUCUUUUUUCGGUUUCCUAUACUUUCUCGGCAACCAAAAGGGUUGGCAGAGAGAAUCUGAGACUAAUGCUUGGGAGAUGAUCCAAAAACCGUACUCCAAAAGUGAAGUAACC
Molecule: long non-coding RNA, 14530 nt
Filed under: Vitis vinifera (wine grape)
Lineage: Eukaryota; Viridiplantae; Streptophyta; Magnoliopsida; Vitales; Vitaceae
Description: long non-coding RNA (VVIN_LNC001630)
Source: RNAcentral